Molecule: ribosomal RNA, 446 nt
Filed under: uncultured bacterium
Lineage: Bacteria
Description: partial 16S ribosomal RNA
Rfam family: Bacterial small subunit ribosomal RNA
Source: RNAcentral
CCUACGGGUGGCAGCAGUGGGGAAUAUUGCACAAUGGGGGAAACCCUGAUGGUGCGACGCCGCGUGGGGGAAUGAAGGUCUUCGGAUUUUAAACCUCUGUCAUGUGGGAGCAAAUUAAAAAGAUAGUACCACAAGAGGAAGAGACGGCUAACUCUGUGUCAGCCGCCGAGGUAAUCCAGAGGUCUCUGGCGUUGUUCGGAAUCACUGGGCGUAAAGCGUGCGUAGGCGGUUUCGUAAGUCGUGUGUGAAAGGUCCGGGCUCAACCCGCGGACGGCACAUGAUACUGCGAGACGAGAGUUAUGGAGGGGGAACCGGAAUUCUCGGUGUAGCAGUGAAAUGCGUAGAUAUCGAGAGGAACACUCGUGGCGAAGGCGGGUUCCUGGACAUUAACUGACGCUGAGGCACGAAGGCCAGGGGAGCGAAAGGGAUUAGAUACCCCUGUAGUC